GGGCACAGACCCAGGACUGGAAUAGAAAAUGAUUGUAUUGAAUUUGGUUGAGAAGGCCAAACUGUUUAGCCACAAUGGCCGUACUAGUUUACGUUCCCACAAGCAACGGAUGAGUGGCCCCUGCUCCACAUUCUAGGCCGGAGUUGCUUUUACGUCAAGUUGGGCCCAGCACAGGACCUGCCAAGAUGCGAGCUCAGGAAACAGGUGCUGAAUAAGUGAACGGAUGGAUGAGCAAGAUUUGCAAAUACUUUUCCUGGAAAGGGAUUUCUAGAGGAUGGAGUGGUCCAUGCAGCAGAGAUGAAGAGGCAGUGAUGGAGUGUGG
Molecule: long non-coding RNA, 322 nt
Organism: Diceros bicornis minor
Lineage: Eukaryota; Metazoa; Chordata; Mammalia; Perissodactyla; Rhinocerotidae
Exons: 3
Source: RefSeq, a predicted model, not a curated record